GAAGCUAGUGUUUAGGUGGGAGUUCCUAGGAAUUUUAUACUACUGACCACAGAGGCCAGAAGAGAAAGGAAAUGGGAAAAACAGUAUAAAUACCUGGGUGACUAAUGACUGUGCAGCUUAGCUGACUUUUCUGAACGUUUAACGGGAAGCCUCUUCCAGGGAAAACACCCUGAACAUUUCUCAGGAGCCCGCGUGGCACUGAAGGGCCCGAUAGGAGUGUUUACUGCACGAGCUUGGUCGGUUUUGUUCACUACCUACGGGACAGAAAGAUUUUCUGCCAAUUUCUCCAAGCGAUGGGCUCUAUUUGCAUGCGUGGUGCAGACAUUUUGCCGAGCACCAGGGUUCCCAGGCCCCCGAUUGUAAAGGAUUGUAAGGCCACCCCUUUCCUCGUUCACAUGAUGGCGCCUAAGAGGAUUUAGAAUCAGGCGGGCACAUUUGCACGGCCUUGUUGUGAAGAGGCAGCUGGAGCGCGGUCGGCCGGCCUGGCGCAGCCACCGCGGGCCCAGGGGACUGCUUUGUGCGCCGAGGGGCCGCCGCGGGGGCGCCUUUGUACGCGACGCAGGCCUUUCUCUCCUGCCCCCAGUCUCCGCCGGGCCUCCGCCGCCGCCCCCUACGCAGACUUUUCACUCCAGCCGCCGGAUCCCCCUGCGGCCGCAUUCCCAAUGCAGAGGAGCGUGCGGGGCUUGGGGCUGGCCAUCUGCACGCGGAGAUUGACAGCAGCCCGAAAGAAGCAUCUAGUAACAUUUAGCAGCUGGGGUAUGGAUGAAGCUAAAUGGUAACUUUGCUGCUCCGUUUCCACCAGCUCCACCUAGGUCCUGGGAGGUGGAAGGGGCAGCUGCAGGGAGAGCAGGACCAGAUGGAUUUAUCAGCAUGCAAGGCCCAAGACUUGAUUUAUUUUAUAAUUGAUACAUUUUGACAAUAUUUUUUACCAAAUGGAUGUAUAGUAUCUCAGCUGUCUUCACACCUUCUCAUCUCACCCCUCUUUACACUGUGAGUCUCCAUCCAGCUAUUACGUGUAUGAAACAGUCGAUGUACCUUCCUCUCUCCUUGCUUUGGAUAAGGUGCAUUAUGGAUUAAAUGGGCUUUGUGGGUUGAUCUAGGACCUAGACCAUCAAGUACAAAGGUUUCUUUGGGAAAUCAGUCUCCUAAAAAAACUGGACUUGAGGAAUCCUCCUGCUGCCAAAACCUUACUGAGAAGAGAAAAUUCCCUCCAAUGAAUGGCUCUGGCGAUGACACUCAGAGACGAGGAGGGGCAGGCUAUGCUGUGUAAGUGACAUUCAUAAAUUUGGUGUUUGUACUUUGGAAACUACCAGCACUUAAUUUAGAAAGUAUUACAGCUGUAUUAGGCAGAAGGCGAACUCAACAGUGUUUAGACCAGGAAGUCAAAAAGGAAAACAAACAGUAAAGCAAAAUAUAGAACCAAGAUCUGAACAGAGAUAGUUGGCGGAAGUAAGCAGUUCAUGGCAGGGUCAUGAGCAAGACCCAUGUUUCAGUGCCAAACAAGGCAAUGAAUAUAAACAUUUCUUUACUAGAUUCAGUAAAGAAAUGCAAGGGCAGCAAACCAAAGGACUGUGAUGCUGAUCACGCGAACUUUCUAUUCUUUUGUCCUUUUUUUAUGUAGACUCUGACAGUGAAUAUGUUCUCAACAGUCUAAGCUCUCAUGAAGUCAUAUAUCCAUCCCACUCUGCAGCCAUGACCCACAUUCUAGGUACUUCCUCCACCCCCCACCCCCCAAGAAGCUGUGAGCAGCCAAAGCUCUCUUUCUAGGUAAUUUCCCAAUUGUUUUUGCCCCCAAAUGGCAAAGGAGUUCAAAUAUUUUUUCAGCCAGAAUGAGGAGUGAGGUGAGAUCAGGAAGAGGAGCAAAAGACAGAGCUGUGACCCAUGAGAAAGACCAGGAAUUAGUUUAAGAGAUUGUCAGGGGAUAAGGGCCCCUUUGGAAGAGAGAAAGUGCGCAUACAACAUGAUUCCUGGGAAAAGGAAUUAAAGCAUAGGGCCAGGAGGAAGACAGGAAUGCUGAGUGAGUUGCAUGAAAUGAUGCUUGAAAUCUCCCAGAAAAAAAAAGUUAGAAAUGAAAAAUGUAUGUGAUUAGUUUGUAUUUUUAUGGUACCUCGGAGGGAGCAGAAGAUAAAUUCCUAAGCAAGAACAGCAAUUGUGGGGCUGACCAACGACUCCCCAGAUUGCCAAAAUUGGCAGUUUCUGCCCAGUUUACAUAAUACCUAAGGUUUGGGAAAGUCUCUAGUGCUCUGUAGUCUCCCCAGAAGUACUUGACUUUCUGUUCUGUUCACCAAGCACUUGGGCACCUUGGAGAUCUUGACUUUACCGGCCCAACUCUAGCCGUGACCUCAGGGAACCACAAUAGCUGGAUUGGAGUACAAACCCCCUGUGUUUUGAAGGAGGGGAGAGGGAUUCAAAUGCUAUGUCCUUUGUCAUCAUAUGUAUCCUAUCAUUUGGGGCAAUUUGUCUCAAUUGCCACCAUUAGAACAAAAUGGCAGAAGACAGAUUUUUUUAAAGCUAUUGAAAAAUGUUUCCCAGGGUCAGUUAAGAAAAGGCCCACACUAUAAAAUAUUAUUUCCACUGCACUAAACUCAAAAGUGGCUGUCUGCAAAGAAGCUGUUGGAAGAGAAACGAAAGUGACAGUCUGAUGGUUGGGAUAGAUUGAAAGCAUUAGGUAAAAUUACAUCAAUGGUAGGAGACUUUUCUCACUCCUCUGGACCUGGAAUUUUGAGCAUUUGUGGGACUGGAUCCAGUCUCAUUUUUCAGCACUUCAUCUAGAGUCUUAGUGCUUUCAAUAUAUUAAUUUCAGAAUAGUGUUUCUUGCUACUUAGCUCAAAUAAUCCCUUUUUGGGUGAACUAAGUGAAGGGGAAUAAGAAAGUCAAUUUAAAAAAGAGUUAUGUUCAAUCUAUUGAGAUUGUUGGAAGUCUGACUUGGUAGGAAACCUAACCUCUGGGACGGCUGCCACUGUGGCCAUUCCCUGGUGGCAUAGUAACUCCUUAGCUCCAUGAUGUUUGGAAAGUGUGGUUUGGACAACACAGAUCAUAAAAAUAAAUCAGUCUUCCAAAGGUUCAUCCCAAGAAGUUCACACUAAGGUGAACACAAUACUGGUUGUCUAUAUCAGAAGGGCUCCAUUUCCAAAUAGGAUUUGAGUUGGGAAAAGGGCUUGUAUAUGCUAUCCUGGCAGUUAUUUCAUAAACUUAAUUGUGUUUAUUAAUGUAUAUUAUCAGAGUAAGUAACCUUUUACCAUUUCACUGAUUCGGGUACACUGGAGGAAGAUCUUUCUGACUCCCUGACUGUCUGGAUUAUGAAAUAAUUUGGAGCACAAUGAUUGUUUAAAAUAGUUUCACUUGACUGUUUGUUAGCCACAGUUUUGAGGGAGCUGCUUCAACAAAGUAAUACAAGUGAGUUGUCUUAGCUUGUCCAUCAUUUGCAUCUGUUCCACAAUGUUACCUUAAAUUGGACUGGGUUAUAUUCCCUUUCCUUCUGAGAAUCACAGAUCAUCAAGAGGUGGAAAGGGAAGGAGAGAUCAUAUAGCCCAAAGGCUGACAAACUUUUCUGUAAAGGGCAAGAUCGUAAAUAUUUCAGACUUGGCAGGCCAUAUGGUCUCUGUCAUAACUACUCAACUCUAGAUGGCAUGAAAACAGUCAUAGAUGAUAUAAAAACUAAUGAGUGUGGCUGUAUCCCAACAAAACUUUAUUUACAAAAACAGGCAACAGGCAGGAUUUGGCUGAUGGAACCUAGUUUGUCAACCCCUGACCUAGUCCCAUUUCCUCACUCUGCAGAUAAGGAAAAGGAAAUCUAGAAGACUGGGAAUUUCCCAGAGUUGUUAGAAGGUUCAUAGCAAAGCCAGAUUCCGAACCUACAAAUUAUAUGUAGAAUCUAGCUUUAUUUCCACCAUACCACAUCAGUUCUGACUCAUUUUGUGAAGCUUCUACCCUGUAGAUGACAUGGAUUUGAGUCAGAAAGUAGUAUUUCAAGAAAUUAUGCACCAGUAAAGUUCAAUUAUUUAAUAAAAAGCACUUUGAAGAAGAGAUUUUGUAGGAGACUGUCACUAAUUAGUGGCAUUACUCUGGGUGCCAUUGUUAUGUUUAAAGAUGGCAUUAAGGGAGUUAAAAAUGGAAAGAUUGGUAUUAUGUCACAGGGUCUCAUUUUAACAAGGUUUUUCGCUAGAGUUGAUUUGAAUAAAGCUAGCAAACUAGGGUUUCCAAUUCACCAAAGAACAGUCAGCCUCUACUGCAGAAGUUCUUAAUAUGGAAUGAAAAGGGUCUGUGAAUCCCUAAAUUCAUGCAGAAGUUUCUGGGCUUGUGCUGUUUUCUCAGGACAGUAGGUACAGCUUUCUUCACAUCUCCAAGUGAAUUUGUGACCCUGAAUUAUAGGAUUCUUAAGGUGAGAAAUUCCUGCCCAGCCAGGAUGCCGGAACUGGCCACCAGAAGGGGGCAUAAACAAGCUCCAACCAGUCACAUCCCUGUCCUCACACAUGCCCUCAGUGGCCGGCUCAUGAAAGGGUUUUUAGCUAGCCACCAGAAAAUCCAGAGGGGAAGGAAAAGUAGUCCUGAUUUUGUCAGCACAGAUGAGUACCCAGCAGCGUCAGAGGGCCCCGCGCAGUGAGGUUCCAAGUCAGGGGCAGUGUCAUUGCAGAUUCAUAGCAAGACCUCAGUCAGUGACUGGGGACAGGGAAGGCCAAGGAUUGGUACAUAAAUUCAGCUCCCAGAAGCUAGUAAAUAGGCUUGACUUCCAGCAACAUAGUGGACCGAGUUGACUCAGACAUCUCUCCUGUUACUAACACAGAGAAGUCCUGGAUGAAAUAGAAUGAAAAGAAAGCUUGUUGUUUUUCAACACAAGUUAAAUUAUAAAGAAAGAAAUGCAAACUCUCACAUGCCAGAAGCCAAGAGUGAACUCAAAGCAUAAUGGUCAGCUUCAGCUGAAGCCACAGUAGCUCAGGAGGCUAACAGCUAGACCCUUCAUUCCUGAGCGUGGGUGAGAAAGUGGCCUUGGGUCUACUGAUGGAAGGAGUCAGAGGAGAGGUUUAACCCUGCGGCUACAAGGGCUAUUGGUUUAUGAGAAGGGGUCCAGAAAAAUCUAUCCAAUGGCUGGAAUAGGUUUUAAGCUUUUUGUGUGGCCCAGGGCUCCAGGUAGGAAAAAAUAAACUUAAAAGCCAAUUUGUAAAUAAAAUUAAAAGCCAAUCUUGCAUUUGAUGUUCAGUGAAGGUAUCUGAAUUUACAACAUACCUGGAUUGGGAAUCUCUGGCUGAGGAGAAAAUGGUUCAAACUGGAGUAUGCUUGAUGUCCACAGAUGCCUUCACAGAACUAGGGCAGACAGCUGACAGCCCAGGCCCAUGUGCUCCUGGGGAAAGAUGCCAUCUAUGGAAGAGGAGCUUGUACAAGAUUUCACAUACACAUGCACACAUGGCACUAAACCAUCAUGGGAGAAACAGAAACCUGAGGAUGAUUGAACAAUCUAGAAGAGACUCUAAAAUAGACAUUUAAAAAAUAUAAAAUACAAUGUAGAACCAUUAGGAAGAAUAAAUGAAAGACAACAAUAACAAGGGUUUGAAAAAGCACCAUAUAGACCUUAUAGAAAUGAGAAUUAUAAUCAUAGACCUGUGAAAGUUUCUACAUAGCUGAGAAGAACUUUACUGAGCUGGAAGGCAGUGCUGGCCAGAAUGCUAUGUACGCAGAAAGAUACAGACACAGAAAUCCAAGGUCACGAGGAACACACGGACAGCUUAGAUUUCAAGGCAAAGGCAUCAAGACAGCUCAUGUCUCCUAGGUUCCCACCCUACUAGGCCUCGGGUUCCUGAGGUCAGAAUUGUCAGGAGAUAGUGGGCCUACACCUGGAAAUCUUAGGCCUCGGGAACUCCUGGUGAGCAAAACUUGGAAAAAGGGGGCUAUCUUCCUGAUAGUCCUGACUUACCUGCCAUCACCUCAGUCACCUGUCCUCCAAGGCUACCCUUCCUCCCUUGAGAGGAAGAGGGAAGUGUCCACCUUCCCUCUAAUUUCUUAUUAGGUCUGUGAUCCUUCAACUGAGUAUAGCCUUUACAUGGCCUUAAGAGCUGUCAAGAAUGGUUUUCUAAAAGUCAUACUGAACAAGGUUUCCCUGAGCAAGGACCUGACCCCAGGAAGAGGAGCCAUAUCACCAGGCCUGUAGACCUCAUCAGGAACCUCAGAGAAGGCAGUUUUCUCCCCCGAGCAGGAUACUUAACAAAAGGAUGGACAGUAGGAUGCUCAAUCUCAAGGUCACUGAGCAGCUUCCCUCUGUGGAAUCCCCUUGGCCAACUGUUGGUCCCUCAUCCAUGACCUAUUUCUGGCCUGGUCUUUGAAAACUGGCUGCUACUCCAGAGACCGAACAUCUGAUCCCUUCUAGUUUGGACCUCAGAUAACUGAACCACAUUCUCCUGCCCGCUUCUCCCAGGCCUGAUGCCCCCUGCCCCCAGCCAUUUUGGGAGAUAUUUUCACAGCCAAGUAAGACCUUUCCAGAAGGUGAAUCUGCCCUUUGCUUCUGUUGCUAGGAAUCAAUUCCUUUUCUGAGAACCUUCCAACAGGUAGGAGAGCAUUAGGGGAAACACCUUUGCUUCAGGGGUCCUGGAACAGCUUGAUUUAGAAGCUGGAGAUGAAUUUUCCCAGGAGCUUCACCAUGGAGAAGCCUGAGGAGCUGUGCUCAAUAGCGCUUUGCCAUCGUUUGGGCAGCACACAUGAACGGCCAAAGAAAACACUGCUGCUAGCACUGUGACAAUGGGGUGACCCCUCUGGGGACAGAGCCUCAGAGGGGCCCUGCCACCACUGGUUGUGAAAAUGCCCUCUCCCUCCUUGGCCUGUUCAACAUGCCCUGGUUCCAAAGCUGAAUCAGCAAGGCAAGCCAAUUCUGGGACAAAAUGAGCACCUUUGUUAUCUUAAAUGACUUGUACCAUCUCACUCCCUGUAUGAAGCAAAAUGCCUCUUAAUAAAAUCACCUUGGUUUCCAUAAGUAUGUAGUACAUUAUCACAGUGAUGAUUUUAUUAGGCCACUGGAAGUUGUCCUCCAAGGGUAUUAAAAGGUUGGCACCAAGGAUGUCAAUCUAAUAGGGGAAAGCUGAAUGACCACUUUUCUACCAGAAACUAAAAGCUUAGUUUGACUCUGGCUAUCUGAACAGAUCUUCAUAUUAAAUGACAUCUCAAGGCCAAAUCUGUAGUCAAAAUAUUAUUAUCCCAAAAUAAAAUCCCAAGGGGACCCACUUAGAUAGGCUACUUCUAGUAAAGUAUUAUGGGAAUAAAACAUUUUCAAUUCAGUUUUUGCUCUUGGGUUAAAAGACACAAGCAGGAAGAUGACCUAUUUUGAGUUUGUCUCUCUGUUCCCCAUAAAGCAGACCCCAUAUACUUUGGAUCAUCUUUAGCUUUGAUGUGUACACAUGAUACUUUGUCUGGGACCUUUUGGUAGUGAUAUAGCCACAGCCCAGACCAUUCGAAAGAUGGGUGGAAUGGAAGGAGUACAAAUGCCCUCUCUGUUGAAUGCCUUCUAGGGAAGCAGAGUAAUGGCUGUAAGAAGAGCUGCCUGGGUCCAAGUCCCAGUUCUGCCAUUAAAUGGCUGUGUGACUUUGGGUGUGUCACUUAACCUUUCUGUGCCUUGGUCUUCUCACUGUAUAAAGAAGAUAAUAUGAGCCUAUAUUGUAGAAUUGUUUUGAGGAUCAGUGUAUAAUACCUGUACAGCACUUACCUUAUACUAAGCUAAUUAUUAGCUAAGUGAACCUUCAUUUCCAGAGGAAGAAUAUAAUACCACACACCUAACAGAAGAAUCCCACCUAAAUUCCAUAUGCAGAGGAAAUUCUUUUCUGGCUAUGUGGCUGCUGAGGGAGAUACAGACAUUUCCAAGAAUAUUUGGGCAUUCUUAACUGAAAGGACAUAUUUUUAUUAAACAACAAUGGGACAUUGGUAGAUUACAGAUGUAGAGUAUCGAGUGGGAACAGUCUGCACUGCCCUAAGUGCAGGCUCUCCCAGCAAAUGAAGGGAGGAUUAGUGCCUUGCUCAGAGUGGUAUUGCAAAAUAAAAUAAAAUAACCCAUGAAAAGUGAUCAGCACAGUGCUCUGCACAAGGUAAUCACUCAACACAUGUUAACCUUGGAUGUACCUAAAACUCAGGCCAGGGGCCCUAGGCAAUCCAGGAGGGUUGUGUGGUAUGUGCUGGAGCCAGGACUCUGGGGCUCCAUGGCCACUGCUUUCACAAUAUGCCUCUCUGCUCCUCUUCUUGGGAUUCUGCGAACAUGAGGGCCUCCUAGCCUGUUCGCAGGAGCUGACUGCAUACAGCACAGGUUUUUUAUAGCAUGCUCCCCUCAGCCAGCAAGGUGGCUGGUACCCAUCUGAGGGACACCUCCCUCCAGUGACUCAGUGAUGCCAUUCUCAGGGGGCUGGGGGGUGUUGAUAAAGAGAUCACUGACCAGAGAACUGCUCUACAAUUCUACAGCGUGUUGGUCCUCCAAAGCCCCAGCCCCAAAGUCACCCUGCAACCAGGAAAAAAAUAAAGUAUUCUGUAAACUGCUUUUAAACACACCAAUUAUUGGGCCAGCCAAUAUUAUGCAACAGAACCCUGUAACAGCUCACAGAGCAACCACUUGAUAACACUGCUUAUUCAGGUUUUAACUAUUGAGUUUUUAUUCUUGCUGCUAACUGAUGGGAUUCCUUAGCUCCUAUCCAUGACUGCAGAUGGCUGCAGUGGCCUACCACCACAGUGUUUGUGGUCUAAGAUUACUCAGAGACCUUGAGGAGCAACAUGAUCUAGCACCCUGGCUUUCUUAUUUUCCUAAACAACAAAAUAACCUUAAGGAGUAGAAGGCAGGGAGGUCCCUCAAAUGUCUGUAUUUAAUCUACACUUGGAUCUGGGAAUACCAGGAAUAAAAUGCUGAUAAGAUAAUGUUGUAGCUCUAUCUGCAGAUGGGUCAGCCUUUGAAGUGGCUGACUGGCAUUGUGCUGUACUGUCUAAUUAAUAGAGGAUUUUCCUAUGCAUUAUCUCAUAUGAUUCACCAAGCCCCUGUAGAGUCAGUAGGACAUUUUAUAGUUAAGGAGAUUGAACCUCUGAGAGGUUGUAACUUGUGCAAGUUAAUAGAGCUCAACAGAUGUACUGACUAUUGAUCCUUUCGAACCAGAUCCUGUCCCAGUGUCCUGCCAGCUCCACCCCACAGAGCCGCCCCAUGCCCCACAAGUCUGUGCAGAGUGUAGCAAAUGUAACUAACCCUGGGUCCAAGGAGCCCCCAGGAGCGAUGC
Non-coding RNA from Manis javanica (Malayan pangolin), 9224 nucleotides. Lineage: Eukaryota; Metazoa; Chordata; Mammalia; Pholidota; Manidae. The record is from RefSeq and is a predicted model, not a curated record.